AAACGUUAAAUAGAUUUACCUAUACUCGGUUACGGGCCGAGGAGAUUGUUCGUUUUUAG
RNAcentral lists this transfer RNA (59 nucleotides) under Pseudoterranova decipiens sensu lato Antarctica. RNAcentral's name for it is "tRNA-Arg". Lineage: Eukaryota; Metazoa; Nematoda; Chromadorea; Rhabditida; Anisakidae. RNAcentral also lists the same sequence under 1 other name. The record is from RNAcentral.